GCUAAUACAUGCAAGUCGAGCGAACAGACAAGGAGCUUGCUCCUUUGACGUUAGCGGCGGACGGGUGAGUAACACGUGGGUAACCUACCUAUAAGACUGGGAUAACUUCGGGAAACCGGAGCUAAUACCGGAUAAUAUUUCGAACCGCAUGGUUCGAUAGUGAAAGAUGGUUUUGCUAUCACUUAUAGAUGGACCCGCGCCGUAUUAGCUAGUUGGUAAGGUAACGGCUUACCAAGGCGACGAUACGUAGCCGACCUGAGAGGGUGAUCGGCCACACUGGAACUGAGACACGGUCCAGACUCCUACGGGAGGCAGCAGUAGGGAAUCUUCCGCAAUGGGCGAAAGCCUGACGGAGCAACGCCGCGUGAGUGAUGAAGGUCUUCGGAUCGUAAAACUCUGUUAUUAGGGAAGAACAUACGUGUAAGUAACUAUGCACGUCUUGACGGUACCUAAUCAGAAAGCCACGGCUAACUACGUGCCAGCAGCCGCGGUAAUACGUAGGUGGCAAGCGUUAUCCGGAAUUAUUGGGCGUAAAGCGCGCGUAGGCGGUUUUUUAAGUCUGAUGUGAAAGCCCACGGCUCAACCGUGGAGGGUCAUUGGAAACUGGAAAACUUGAGUGCAGAAGAGGAAAGUGGAAUUCCAUGUGUAGCGGUGAAAUGCGCAGAGAUAUGGAGGAACACCAGUGGCGAAGGCGACUUUCUGGUCUGUAACUGACGCUGAUGUGCGAAAGCGUGGGGAUCAAACAGGAUUAGAUACCCUGGUAGUCCACGCCGUAAACGAUGAGUGCUAAGUGUUAGGGGUUUCCGCCCCUUAGUGCUGCAGCUAACGCAUUAAGCACUCCGCCUGGGGAGUACGACCGCAAGGUUGAAACUCAAGGAAUUGACGGGGACCCGCACAAGCGGUGGAGCAUGUGGUAUAAUUCGAAGCAACGCGAAGCAUCUUUACGAAUCUGACAAUCCUUUGACACUCUAGAGAUAGCAGUCUUCCCCUUCGGGGGACAAAGUGACAGGUGGUGCAUGGCUGUCGUCAGCUCGUGUCGUGAGAUGUGGGGUAGUCCCGCACGAGCGCACUCCUUAGCUUAGUGCAUCAUAGUGGGCACUCUAGUGACUGCCGGUGACGAUCGGAGGAGGUGGGGAUGACGUC
RNAcentral lists this ribosomal RNA (1143 nucleotides) under Staphylococcus haemolyticus. RNAcentral's name for it is "bacterial SSU rRNA". It matches the Rfam family "Bacterial small subunit ribosomal RNA", at positions 46 to 1186 of the family's 1533-position model. The record is from RNAcentral. Lineage: Bacteria; Bacillati; Bacillota; Bacilli; Caryophanales; Staphylococcaceae.